ACAACAGUUGGAAACGACUGCUAAUACCGCAUACAGCCGAGAGGUGAAAGGAGCAAUCCGCUAUCAGAUGCGCCCAAAUGGGAUUAGCUAGAUGGCGGGUAACGGCCCACCAUGGCGACGAUCAGUAGCCGGUCUGAGAGGAUAGAACGGCCACAUUGGGACUGAGAUACGGCCCAGACUCCUACGGGAGGCAGCAGUGGGAAUAUUGGGCAAUGGGGGAAACCCUGACCCAGCAACGCCGCGUGAAGGAAGAAGGCCUUCGGGUUGUAAACUUCUUUUACCAGGGACGAAGAACGUGACGGUACCUGGAGAAAAAGCAACGGCUAACUACGUG
RNAcentral lists this ribosomal RNA (334 nucleotides) under uncultured bacterium. Its description in RNAcentral is "bacterial SSU rRNA". It matches the Rfam family "Bacterial small subunit ribosomal RNA", at positions 143 to 507 of the family's 1533-position model. The record is from RNAcentral.